This is a long non-coding RNA of Malania oleifera, 623 nucleotides long. RefSeq lists it as uncharacterized. The transcript is spliced from 3 exons. Lineage: Eukaryota; Viridiplantae; Streptophyta; Magnoliopsida; Santalales; Ximeniaceae. The record is from RefSeq and is a predicted model, not a curated record.
UCUUCCUCUGUUCCCUCUUUUCCCUUAUCCCUUUCCCGCUCCUCUCUCGAUCCUCUCUCAAUCCUCCCCUCCGGAUUCUCCUCUCUCCGUCGCAAUGCCGUCGCCAUUCGUCGCAGCCCAAGGGCCCCUCACUAUUCGCAGACCAUCACAGCCCAAGAGCCCGUCGUUGUUCGUUCACUAACCAUCACAGCCGAGGGCCCGUCGCCUUAAGUCCAUACUCGAGAACCCUUUUCCGACGAACAAGCUCUGGGACCUUCGAGCAGUGCGACCCUGCGCAAUCUCGAAGAUGAUGAAUGUUUUCAGCCCCUAGUUAUGGAUUCAGACCACGAUCUUGGGGAGAAUUCGAUUCCGGUUCUUAGGCGUUUGAGACUGGGGCUCAACAACAGACCGGCAUCAGUGCAUAAGCGAGACUCGGUGGAGGUUUCUUGUAAUGUGGAUGAUGAAAUAGAAGAGUUUUCUUCGCAGGAGGGUCUGCACGGAGGCUUAGGGAGCUGAAGUCACAUUUGGAAGUACUUAGUCCAAUAUAGCAAAUCAAGGGCAAAAGCGUGCCAAUUCUCCUAGGGUUCGCGGCAGUUAUAAAAUUAGGAUGAUGCCAUGCAUGCACGCACUACAGCCGUCAGAUG